This 67-nucleotide transfer RNA is filed under the name Marmota monax (woodchuck). RNAcentral's name for it is "tRNA.Ala". The record is from RNAcentral. Lineage: Eukaryota; Metazoa; Chordata; Mammalia; Rodentia; Sciuridae.
GGUCAUGGCUCAGAGGUUGAGCGCUUGCCUUGCAUGCAGGAGGCACUGGAUUCGAUCCUCAGCACCA